UGCAUGUAGUGGCGAGAGGUUGGGAUGAUAAGGAUGGGGGAAGGGUUAGCCGGUUUGACGGGGUGUAAAGGGAGCGUAGACGGCAGGGCGAGACAGAUGUGGAAGCCGGGGGCUCGACCCCGGGACUGGAUUGGGAACGGCGGAGCUAGAGUGUCGGGGAGGCAAGUGUAAUUCCUAGUGUGGCGGUGAAAUGCGUAGAUAUUAGGGGGAACACCAGUGGCGAAGGCGGCUUGCUGGACGAUGACUGACGUUGAGGCUCGAAAGCGUGGGGAGCAAACAGGAUUAGAUACCCCGGUGGUC
This 300-nucleotide ribosomal RNA is filed under the name uncultured Staphylothermus sp. RNAcentral's name for it is "bacterial SSU rRNA". The stretch from base 52 to 300 matches the Rfam family "Bacterial small subunit ribosomal RNA", at positions 547 to 795 of the family's 1533-position model. Lineage: Archaea; Thermoproteati; Thermoproteota; Thermoprotei; Desulfurococcales; Desulfurococcaceae. The record is from RNAcentral.